GUUCUUUGUUUAUGUAAAGAAUAAUGUCUGCCCAAUGAUUUUUAAAUGGCCGCAGAAUUUGUGUUAAGGUAGCAUAAUAAUUAGUCUUUUAAUUGGAGACUGGAAUGAAUGGCGUGACGGGGAAAUACUGUCUUUAAUUUAGUUUUUAAAUUUUACUUUUAAGUUAGAAGGCUUAAAUUUAAUAGAGUGACGAUAAGACCCUAUAAAGUUUUAUAAUUUAAUUUUUUGAUUUUCUGUUUAAUUUUUUGAAUUAUUUUACUGGGGCGGUAUUUUAAAUUACUUAGAUAAAUAUUAAUUAAUUUGAUUUUAUUUUGAUCUUUUAUUAUUAAUUAUUAGAAUAAAUUACUUUAGGGAUAACAGCAUAAUAAAUUUAUAAAGAUCUUAUUUGUAAAUUUGAUUUUGACCUCGAUGUUGGAUUAAUUUUACUUAUUGGUGAAGUAGCUAAUAUAGUUAGUCUGUUCGACUAUUAAUAAAUUACA
RNAcentral lists this ribosomal RNA (479 nucleotides) under Propallene longiceps. Its description in RNAcentral is "partial 16S ribosomal RNA". Lineage: Eukaryota; Metazoa; Arthropoda; Pycnogonida; Pantopoda; Callipallenidae. The record is from RNAcentral.